AUACAGAGGGUGCGAGCGUUAAUCGGAAUUACUGGGCGUAAAGCGCGCGUAGGCGGCUUAUUAAGUCAGAUGUGAAAUCCCCGGGCUCAACCUGGGAACUGCAUCUGAUACUGGUAAGCUAGAGUUUAGGAGAGGGAAGUAGAAUUUCAGGUGUAGCGGUGAAAUGCAUAGAGAUCUGAAGGAAUACCAGUGGCGAAGGCGACUUCCUGGCCUAAAACUGACGCUGAGGUGCGAAAGCGUGGGUAGCAGACGGGAUUAGAAACCCCGGUAGUCC
This 274-nucleotide ribosomal RNA is filed under the name uncultured bacterium. RNAcentral describes it as "partial 16S ribosomal RNA". It matches the Rfam family "Bacterial small subunit ribosomal RNA", at positions 523 to 796 of the family's 1533-position model. The record is from RNAcentral.